This 863-nucleotide long non-coding RNA is filed under the name Ananas comosus (pineapple). RNAcentral's name for it is "long non-coding RNA (ACOM_LNC013206)". The record is from RNAcentral. Lineage: Eukaryota; Viridiplantae; Streptophyta; Magnoliopsida; Poales; Bromeliaceae.
AAAUUUUAUUUUAAAAAAUAAAAAAUAAAUAGGGAAAACUUUAAAUACCCCCUUGUGGUUUCACUUUUUUUCACUUUAGUACCCUAUGGUUUAAAGUGUAUCAAGUUAGUACCCUGUGGUUUUGCACUUUUUCACUUUAAUACCUGUGGUUUAAAGUGUAUCAAGUUAGUAUCCUGUGGUUUCACACUUUAUUACUUUAGUACCCUGUGGUUUCACACUUAUCACUUUAGUACCCUGUAGCUUAAAAAUCAUAGGGUACUAACUUGAUACAAAAAUAAAAUUAUAGGAUACUAACUUGAUACAAAAAUAACCACAGAAUACUAACUUGAUACACUUUAAACCACAGGGUAUUAAAGUGAUAAAGUGAGAAACCACAUGGUACUAAUUUGAUAUACUUUAAAGUGUAGAGUACUAAAAUGAAAGAAUGUAAAACCACAAGAGGGGUUUUUGAAGUUUUCCCAAAUAAAUAUGAUGCCCUAUGAGAUUUUAGAGUUUAGUUUUGUUUCCAAAAAGCCUUAACAUUUAUGAUUAGAUAGGAUAGUUUUAUUUAUAAAAUAAUUUAUCUUAGUUGAAAACGUAAGUUAGGCUUACUAUGAUAUUGAGAUCUAUCUAACGUUAUUAGACAAAUGGAGUUGAAAAAAAUAUAUAUAGGGAUAUGCUUCUUCUUUCUCUGGUGGGAAAGCAGAAAGUAUAUUAUAACCGAUAAUAUAACCGACUUAUUGCGAUAUGCGGAACGCAAUAUUACUUAUGAAAACAAAUAUGGUAUUUUUUCAACGUAUUUUCUUACCGCACGUAAUGCAAUCUCCCCGCAAUCCCAAACGAAGCUUUAGUCAACUAUUUUAUUCCACUUCAGAUAUUUGAUU